GGGCAGCAGGAAGCCUAGUGGUUAGAGGGGGGAGGCAGGUAGCCUAGUGGUUAGAGAGAGAGAGGCAGGUAGCCUAGUGGUUAGAGAGAGAGAGGCAGGUAGCCUAGUGGUUAGAGAGAGAGAGGCAGGUAGCCUAGUGGUUAGAGGGGGGAGGCAGGUAGCCUAGUGGUUAGAGAGAGAGAGAGAGGCAGGUAGCCUAGUGGUUAGAGGGGAGGCAGGUAGCCUAGUGGUUAGAGAAGGGAGGCAGGUAGCCUAGUGGUUAGAGGGGGGAGGCAGGUAGCCUAGUGGUUAGAGAGGGGAGGCAGGUAGCCUAGUGGUUAGAGGGGGAGGCAGGUAGCCUAGUGGUUAGAGAGGGGAGGCAGGUAGCCUAGUGGUUAGAGAGGGAGGCAGGUAGCCUAGUGGUUAGAGGGGGAGGCAGGUAGCCUAGUGGUUAGAGGGGGGAGGCAGGUAACCUAGUGGUUAGAGGGGGGAGGCAGGUAGCCUAGUGGUUAGAGGGGGGAGGCAGGUAGCCUAGUGGUUAGAGGGUUGGACUA
Long non-coding RNA from Oncorhynchus tshawytscha (Chinook salmon), 533 nucleotides. The record is from Ensembl. NCBI's taxonomy places the organism in Eukaryota, Metazoa, Chordata, Actinopteri, Salmoniformes, Salmonidae.